This 496-nucleotide ribosomal RNA is filed under the name uncultured Glomeromycotina. RNAcentral's name for it is "partial small subunit ribosomal RNA". It matches the Rfam family "Eukaryotic small subunit ribosomal RNA", at positions 591 to 1092 of the family's 1831-position model. Lineage: Eukaryota; Fungi; Glomeromycota. The record is from RNAcentral.
CCAAUAGCGUAUAUUAAAGUUGUUGCAGUUAAAAAGCUCGUAGUUGACUUUCGGGGUUCUACCGUUGGUCGGGCUGUUGUCUGUACUGGUGUGUAGAAUUUCUACCUUCUGGGGAACUAUCAUGUUAUUAAUUUAACGUGGUAGGAAACCAGGACCUUUACCUUGAAAAAAUUAGAGUGUUCAAAGCAGGCUUAUGUCUGCAUACAUUAGCAUGGAAUAAUAAAAUAGGACGGUGGUCCUGUUUUGUUGGUUUCUGAAUCACCGUAAUGAUUAAUAGGGAUAGUUGGGGGCAUUAGUAUUCAAUUGUCAGAGGUGAAAUUCUUGGAUUUAUUGAAGACUAACUACUGCGAAAGCAUUUGCCAAGGAUGUUUUCAUUAAUCAAGAACGAAAGUUAGGGGAUCGAAGACGAUCAGAUACCGUCGUAGUCUUAACCAUAAACUAUGCCGACUAGGGAUCGGACGAUGUUAACUUUUCUUGACUCGUUCGGCGCCUUACG